AGUAUAAAGAGCGGCAAACUAUCGAGGUGAAUUUAACCUUUAAAGCCGGUCCCAGUUCGGAUUGUAGCGCGAAAUUCGCCUGCAAGUAGUCGGUGCGAGUCAUAUUCCGAAUCAGCAACACCCGUGUGAAUACUUUCCCGGGCCUUGUACACACCACCCGUCACACCUAGACAGUCGGCCACACCUGAAUCCGGUGGGGUAACCCACAAGAGUAUU
Molecule: ribosomal RNA, 216 nt
Filed under: uncultured bacterium
Lineage: Bacteria
Description: partial 16S ribosomal RNA
Rfam family: Bacterial small subunit ribosomal RNA
Source: RNAcentral